Molecule: non-coding RNA, 46 nt
Organism: Opisthocomus hoazin
Lineage: Eukaryota; Metazoa; Chordata; Aves; Opisthocomiformes; Opisthocomidae
Source: Rfam
CCAAAGGUGCUUCUCAGCACCACAUUGUGAAAACUUUCGAUAUUUU